This 75-nucleotide non-coding RNA is filed under the name pig gut metagenome. The record is from RNAcentral.
AGCAGGGGGCUUGGAUGCUGAGAAAUACCCGUAAAACCUGAUCAGGGUAAUACCUGCGGAGGAAUGUCCAUGAAU